This 851-nucleotide long non-coding RNA is filed under the name Theobroma cacao (cacao). Its description in RNAcentral is "long non-coding RNA (TCAC_LNC005288)". The record is from RNAcentral. Lineage: Eukaryota; Viridiplantae; Streptophyta; Magnoliopsida; Malvales; Malvaceae.
AACAAGGAGGAAAACCAACCUCCAAGCUACCAGAUAAAAUUGCAAAGAAAACAAAAUACUCAUCUACAACAUCCAAAACCACCCUUGCCUUCCCCAGAAAGCAACAUAUACAUCUCCCAUCAAACAAAAAGAGAUUAGCAAAACAUCAAAACAAACAAAUAGAGGAGAUCCGGACGUGACUCAUAACUAAAAUACCUAUACAACCAGGUUGUUCAUACACAAUCUACAAAAGUAAUAGCGAAAGUAUAGAACCUCCCUCGUGCACUUCAAAAAUCUUUUCUGUUGAUUGGUUGUCCACACGAACCGCAACCUUUUCAGCCUCAUGAAAACCACUUGUCCAAAGCGCCUCUAAUGAUCUUGAAUAGACGGAAACAAAAAAAAAAAAAACCAACACAAACCACAAUAGACAACAAUAAGCUGCCAUGACCAGGAAAAACCAACAUUCAUUGUAAUCCUGAUGCGCCCUCAACCCCUUCAUCCAACUCAUUAGUUACCCAUAUAAAUUCUUUCGAUCUUUGCACCUCGAUUUUGGUUAAGUAAUCUGCGACUUCGUUUGCUGAUCUGGGUAUUUUCCUAAAACUCCAUCCCCUCAGUUGAGUUUUGAAAGACUCCAUUUGCAUCAUUGUGAUCUCAAUCUCCAUGGGGCCACUGAUGGAUCCUUUGCCCACUUCACUACCUUUUUCGAAUCACUUUCUAUGAUAACGUUAAAGGUGGUAGCCCAUCAUGAAGUUGCAACUAUUUGAAGAGCCUUUUUGAUAGCCAUGGUUUCAACCGUAUUAGCAUUCAUCACAUCAACACACAUCGAAAAUUGUAUUAAAAUUCUACCCACCUCGUUUCUAAACACCACCCUA